GUUUCCGUAGUGGAGCGGUUAUCACGCUCGCCUAACACGCGAGAGGUCCUCGGCUCGAAACCGAGCGGAAACA
Non-coding RNA from Aethalodelphis obliquidens (Pacific white-sided dolphin), 73 nucleotides. NCBI's taxonomy places the organism in Eukaryota, Metazoa, Chordata, Mammalia, Artiodactyla, Delphinidae. The record is from the annotation of a RefSeq genome assembly.